GAAGCCUAGGGUUUUUCUUUCAAGAUGAAGAAUGAGGCAAAAAUGAUUCAAUUUGCCUUUUAAAUGGCUCAAAAAUCAUGUUUGAUUAAUUGUAAAAUGGUUCCUAACAAAAAUAGGGUAGCUAAACGGACCCCAACCAUGGCUUUGGUGUCGCGACACCCUGUAAGUGGCACGCAGUGCCACAGCAGCAGCGUUGCGGCACCACUUUACAUUUUUAGAUUUUUGUAACUCCAAUCCCUUAGAUAAUUGCAUGUCAAAUCCCUCAACUUUGAACUUUUACAAUUUGAUCCUCGAAUUUUGACUUUUAAAUCAAUUACGCCCGCCAAUAAUUGCAACCCAAGUCCUUGUACUUUUGGUACUUAGCAUUUUGGUCCCAACUUCACAAUUUUGUAUGCUUUUAGUCCCUUUUCACUUCCUUUUGCCUUGUUCUACUACAUUGGGUGAAUUUUACCUACAAAAACAAUAAGUACAUAAUUGUGAAUGGAAAAUCGCUCAUUUAAUCAAUAUUUAAGCUUAUUUCAACAUUAAACGAGUGUGCAAAAACACAAUUAUUAAAUACCUCCUAACUUAAACUCCCGAGCAAGAUUAUUUACUACACAAUCAUGUAACACAUGAUAAAGAUUAACAAUAUUAAAUAGUUUGCAUAAAAAUCAAUGAGUGUAAAAUUGUAUAAUCAAUUCACAAAUAUGCCCAAAUAAUGCCAGCAAAAAUAAUUUAAGCUUAUCCAAUGUUCGAUUGGGGUGUGUGUGUGUGUGUGCGCGUGUGUGCAAAGUCACUUUCAGUUAUUAUCUAUAUUAGGAAAAAGUUGUCAAGAAGGAAAAAUCUUCAAAUUGGCUUCAACCCGACCCUUUGUGGUCAAAUAUUUCCUUUUUUACUCGUGAGAUUCACACUAAAAUAGAUAUUUAUUUUGCUUCUUGAAGUGUAAAUCUAAGGUUGCUCUAGUUUGGUUGGGUCAACUGGCAAUCUCAAUAUCCA
This 975-nucleotide long non-coding RNA is filed under the name Olea europaea subsp. europaea. The record is from RNAcentral. Lineage: Eukaryota; Viridiplantae; Streptophyta; Magnoliopsida; Lamiales; Oleaceae.